RNAcentral lists this ribosomal RNA (253 nucleotides) under uncultured bacterium. RNAcentral describes it as "partial 16S ribosomal RNA". It matches the Rfam family "Bacterial small subunit ribosomal RNA", at positions 524 to 776 of the family's 1533-position model. The record is from RNAcentral.
UACGUAGGGUCCGAGCGUUGUCCGGAAUUAUUGGGCGUAAAGGGCUCGUAGGCGGUUUGUUGCGUCGGGAGUGAGAACUUACAGCUUAACUGUGAGCGUGCUUCCGAUACGGGCAGACUUGAGGUAUUCAGGGGAGAACGGAAUUCCUGGUGUAGCGGUGAAAUGCGCAGAUAUCAGGAGGAACACCGGUGGCGAAGGCGGUUCUCUGGGAAUAUCCUGACGCUGAGGAGCGAAAGUGUGGGGAGCGAACAGG